CGCGGGCGAGCAACGCGGCCAGUUCCCGCUCCUGGUCGGGGCGCAGGGCCAGGUUCGACGCCCGCACCUGCGGC
RNAcentral lists this transfer RNA (74 nucleotides) under Phytohabitans rumicis. Its description in RNAcentral is "tRNA-Thr". The record is from RNAcentral. Lineage: Bacteria; Bacillati; Actinomycetota; Actinomycetes; Micromonosporales; Micromonosporaceae.